UACGUAGGGUGCAAGCGUUGUCCGGAAUUAUUGGGCGUAAAAGAGCUCGUAGGCGGUUUUGUCGCGUCUGCUGUGAAAACCCGAGGCUCAACCUCGGGCCUGCAGUGGGUACGGGCAGACUAGAGUGCGGUAGGGGAGAUUGGAAUUCCUGGUGUAGCGGUGGAAUGCGCAGAUAUCAGGAGGAACACCAAUGGCGAAGGCAGAUCUCUGGGCCGUAACUGACGCUGAGGAGCGAAAGCAUGGGGAGCGAACAGG
This 255-nucleotide ribosomal RNA is filed under the name uncultured bacterium. RNAcentral describes it as "partial 16S ribosomal RNA". It matches the Rfam family "Bacterial small subunit ribosomal RNA", at positions 524 to 776 of the family's 1533-position model. The record is from RNAcentral.